UUGCUAUCUGCAAUAUAAAAGAUUCGAACCUGCAGCAGGUUCGAGUCGAACGAAGUGAGACAACGGAGCCGCCUGCGGCGACGGCCCGAAGGGCGAGGCAAAGCCGAGUCAUCCUGCACGACCCACCA
Molecule: small RNA, 128 nt
Filed under: Phytobacter diazotrophicus
Lineage: Bacteria; Pseudomonadati; Pseudomonadota; Gammaproteobacteria; Enterobacterales; Enterobacteriaceae
Also listed under: 1 other name
Description: RtT sRNA
Rfam family: RtT RNA
About the family: This family represents a bacterial cis-regulatory element known as RtT RNA. The exact function of RtT is unknown although it is thought that it may be involved in changing the cellular response in relation to amino acid starvation.
Source: RNAcentral